GAGAGAGAGAGAGAGAGAGAGAGAGAGAGAGAGAGAGAGAGAGAGAGAGAGAGAGAGAGAGAGAGAGAGAGAGAGAGAGAGAGAGAGAGAGAGAGAGAUGGUGGGGGAGGAGAGAAGAGAAACAGGAGAGGGAGAGAGAUGGUGGAGAGAGGGAGAAAAGAGGAGAGAGACAGAGAUGGAGAGAGAAGAGGAGAGGAAGAAAGACGAAGAGAAACUGUCAGGCUCAGUUUCUGAUCUGUAUUUUACAUAAUCAGAAAACUCGACAUUUGAAGAGCUCGGCGUGGCUCAAAGGCCAGGCAAGGGGCCGCAGCAUCCCCAGUGGUCAAAGGGGCCGGACCCGCUGGGUUACAUGUGUGGGCAGCCUCCGAUUCCUCGGGCGCCUCUCACUUGCCUAGAUGAAACACCACCCUGGGGGCGGGGAGAUGGGGGAGGCAGGUGCCAUCAAUGUCAUCUUCCCCCUUUCCCCUACAAUGUCAGGGCUCUUCUCCCUCCCUGCCCCCCCUCUUUUUGAAGAACUGCAUUUAUGACUGAUCACUCAACACCUUGUUGGUUCUGAUUGCAGAAAACACACCUUAUAAAUAUAUGAUAACCAUCCUGUAAUAGUGUGACAAUUUACUUCACAGUGCGUUUCAGGCUGCUAAUUGAUCGUUUCAGUCCAGGGACUAUUUUGGAAUAAAUUAUGCCCAUCAAAAGGAUAUCAGUUCAUUUGGGUAGAAAGAUUUCCACGUCGCUUCUCGUUCAUCUGCAGCUGGAGAGGGGCUUUCACCCCGCGCGGGGAGGGAGAGCAGGGUGGGGGAGGGGCUCUGGCAGGGACAGGAUAGCUGUGGUCGGAAGGCGUGGGCUCGGAGCCCAGGGACUGUGGAGCCCGCAGUGGUCGGUAGAGGCCGCUCUCUUUGUACGCAUCGCGGGGAGUCGGAGCUGUCUGGCAGGGCGUCCGGCUCAGGGUGAGCAGGGGGCCUCGACUCAGUACCCGGACGGGGCCAGGCUUCGAGGCUGGAGAGAUAAGGAAAUCAAGGUCCAGAGAGUUAAAUGA
Molecule: long non-coding RNA, 1033 nt
Organism: Monodelphis domestica (gray short-tailed opossum)
Lineage: Eukaryota; Metazoa; Chordata; Mammalia; Didelphimorphia; Didelphidae
Source: Ensembl